UUGGUGUGGUUGUUGCUGGCCCUCUCGGGGGCAUGUGCACACCCACCAUCCUCAUCUCUCCACCUGUGCACCUCUUGUAKACCUGGAUUGACUUUCCGAGGCAACUCGGUCGGGAAGAUUGCUGCGCUCUGUGAGCCAGCUUUCUUUGCAUGUCCAGGCCUAUGUUUUUCAUAUACCCCUAUAGAAUGUAACAGAAUGUAUCAUUGGGCCUUGUGCCUAUAAACCUUAUACAACUUUCAGCAACGGAUCUCUUGGCUCUCGCAUCGAUGAAGAACGCAGCGAAAUGCGAUAAGUAAUGUGAAUUGCAGAAUUCAGUGAAUCAUCGAAUCUUUGAACGCACCUUGCGCUCCUUGGUAUUCCGAGGAGCAUGCCUGUUUGAGUGUCAUUAAAUUCUCAACCUUAUUAACUUUUGUUGAUAAUGGAUUGGAUUGUGGGGGUUUCUUUUGCUGGCUUCUUCACAGAGAUCAGCUCCCCUUAAAUGCAUUAGCUGGUGCCCCGCGUGGACCAUCUAUUGGUGUGAUAAUUAUCUACGCCGUGGAUGUCUGCAAUCAUAUGGGUUUCGCACUGCUUCUAACCGUCUGUUCAUUCGGACAAUACAUGACAAUUUGACCUCAAAUCAGGUAGGACUACCCGCUGAACUUAAGCAUAUCAAUAAGCGGAGGAAAAGAAACUAACAAGGAUUCCCCUAGUAACUGCGAGUGAAGCGGGAAAAGCUCAAAUUUAAAAUCUGGCGGUCUCCGGCCGUCCGAG
This 750-nucleotide ribosomal RNA is filed under the name Alnicola umbrina. RNAcentral's name for it is "eukaryotic LSU rRNA". The stretch from base 232 to 385 matches the Rfam family "5.8S ribosomal RNA". The record is from RNAcentral. Lineage: Eukaryota; Fungi; Basidiomycota; Agaricomycetes; Agaricales; Hymenogastraceae.